UUUAUGGUGGAUGCAAAAGAUUACUCCUUGAUUUCAACACUGCAAAAAUUGAGAUUGGGCAAAUCUAUGGUUCAUUAGUAUCAUCAACUGUGAUCUUUUGUUUAUGUCUAAUUUGUGGUUCAGAAUUUCCGCUUGCACCUGUGUCUAGAAAUUAAGAGGAGAAAACUUGGGAUAAAUCUAUUUGAUAAACAGUGCUUAUUGGAAAUGAUACUUAAGGGGUUAGAUUGUUUCGUGUUUCAAGUGAUACUGUUGCAUUCGUGGCGAAAAAAGAGUUCGCUCCAGAAGAAUAUAAGCUUAUAUCUUCUAGAUCAGAUAUGUAAUGUCGCUUUAGAGAUGAAAGAGGUACAGGUCGCCCUAGAGGAAGAUAAGCCUAUACUUUCUAGAUCAGAUAUGUAAUGUCGCUUUAGAGAUGAAAGAGGUACAGAAAAGACCAGGGUUUGAGCCAGAAAAGACCAGGGUUUGGACCAGAAAAGGCCAUUGAGGUCGAAGGGAAGGAAUGAUUGACGGGUCUUAGGGCACAGUCUUGUCCCUUUUGGGCUGGGCUGCUAAGGGAUCUCCCUUUGAUCAUUCCUAACUUCAGCCUCGAUGGACCACGUGGCCGAAGAAAAGAGAUGAUUGAAAGGUCUUAGAGCACAGUCUUGUCCCUUCUUGGGCUGGGCUGCUAAGGGAUCUCCUGGAGAUCGUUUCUAGCUUCAGUCGUCGUUGGUCUAAGAGGUCGAAGGAAAAAAAAAAGGAAUGAUUCACGGAUCUUAGGGCACAGUCUUGCCUCUUCUUGGGGCUGGGCUGCUAAGGGAUCUCCCUUGGAUCAUUCUUAACUUCAGCCUCGAUAGACCACGUGGCCGAAGAGAAGAAAUGAUUGAAAGGUCUUAGAGCACAGUCUUGUCCCUUCUUGGGGCUGGGCUGCUAAGGGAUCUCCUGAAGAUCAUUUCUAACUUCCGUUGUCGUUGGUCUAAGAGGUCGAAGGGAAAAAAGGAAUGAUUGACGGGUCUUAGAGUACAGUCUUGUCCCUUCUUGGGGCUGGGCUGCUAAGGGAUCUCCCUUCUAUCAUUCCUAACUUCUGCCUCCAUAGACCACGUGGCUGAAGACAAGAGAUGAUUGAAAGGUCUUAGAGCACAGUCUUGUCCCUUCUUGGGCUGGGCUGCUAAGGGAUCUCCUUGAGAUUAUUUCUAACUUCAGCUGUCGUUGGUCUAAGAGGUGGAAGAAAACAAGGGAAUGAUUGACGGGUCUUAGAGUACAGUCUUGUCCUUUCUUGGGACUGGGCUGCUAAGGGAUCUCCCUUCUAUCAUUCCUAACUUCAGCCUCCAUGGACCACGUGACUGAAGACAAGAGAUUAUUGAAAGGUCUUAGAGCACAGUCUUGUCCCUUCUUGGGCUGGGCUGCUAAGGGAUCUCCUUGAGAUUAUUUCUAACUUCAGCUGUCGUUGGUCUAAGAGGUGGAAGAAAACAAGGGAAUGAUUGACGGGUCUUAGAGUACAGUCUUGUCCCUUCUUGGGACUGGGCUGCUAAGGGAUCUCCCUUCUAUCAUUCCUAACUUCAGCCUCCAUAGACCACGUGGCUGAAGACAAGAGAUGAUUGAAAGGUCUUAGAGCACAGUCUUGUCCCUUCUUGGGCUGGGCUGCUAAGGGAUCUCCUGGAGAUUAUUUCUAACUUCAGCUGUCGUUGGUCCAACGGGUCGAAGAAAAAUAAGGGAAUGAUUGACGGGUCUUAGGCACCAGUCUUGUCCCUUCUUGGGUCAGGGCUGCUAAGGGAUCUCCCGUUGAUCCUUCCUAACUUCAGCCUUCGAUGGUCCCAGUGGUCGAAGAAAAGGAACGAUUGAAGGGUCUUAGAGCACAGUCUUGUCCCUUCUUAGGGCUGGGCUGCUAAGGGAUCUCCCGGAAGUCGUUCCCAACUUUAGCCAACGAUGGACCCGGAGCGAUUAAGCAAGAUUUGAUCGUCAAUGUGAGUAAUAUCAUACAAAUUAAUUUAGAUUGCAUCGACUACAUGUUUCGUUAUCCUGAUGACCUCUUCAGGGAAUUCGAUCCCGUGAAAAAAUUUGCGACGUUGUCAAAUCGCUUUUUUCGUCCCCGAAACACCGUCGACGGCGUUGCCACGUUUCUCCAUUCGUCCCGGAAACCGGGAAACCCCUCCGAUUUCUUCCCCCCCUGGCUCGCGGGGGGGUUUUGAUCGCCCCCUCGUAAAUAAGGCCCGACACGUCAG
This is a long non-coding RNA of Coccinella septempunctata (seven-spotted ladybird), 2195 nucleotides long. RefSeq lists it as uncharacterized. Lineage: Eukaryota; Metazoa; Arthropoda; Insecta; Coleoptera; Coccinellidae. The transcript has 4 exons. The record is from RefSeq and is a predicted model, not a curated record.